This is a long non-coding RNA of Daphnia pulicaria, 702 nucleotides long. RefSeq lists it as uncharacterized. Lineage: Eukaryota; Metazoa; Arthropoda; Branchiopoda; Diplostraca; Daphniidae. The record is from RefSeq and is a predicted model, not a curated record. The transcript has 4 exons.
AUUUAUAAGUUGUUGCAACACUUCCUUGCAAUUCUUUCUGUGUGAUGAACAGAAGAUAACAUUCACCUCUGUUGCUUUCAGUCACAUCAUCGAAUUUCUUUAACACAAGGAGUCACAACAAAAAUUAGAUAAUGGGAGUUAGUUAUCUAGGCCCCAUUAAGAGAUAAUCGUCAUCACUGGUCGCCGGGUUGGUGUUGGCUGAUGCUGCAUCUCCGAUUGGCCUCACUGUACCUGGAACAUAUUCGUUCGACAUGGGAGGAAAAGAACAAAAAGUGAACUGUUACCGUGGUUGCGGAAUCUCCAGUCGCCACUCCAAGGCAACGGAUCUCGAAGUGACGUCAUCAGUGUAACUGGCUCGUUUCCGCUUUCAACUCGGCAUAGGAUUUCGGGUUUGACCUCUGUCGAUCCCAUUCAAAUGUUUUUUGCAAGGUGAGACCAGUGGUGACAGGGUGACAGCUUUGACUGUUCAAGUUCCGAGUUCUAUCGAAUUAGGAUCAGGAUAAAUUUCGGUUAUUUCCUUGUAGAGGAAGCAGUCGCCUAUGAGUCGUUUUAUGUAAAAAAACGUUAAAUUUGGGAAAUUCCUCUUUUUGUUACGAGGGGAACUUUCCUGAUUUGGCCAUUUGGAAGGCCUUUACCUUUCGCGGAAUAAAUGUGCAGCAAUCAAAUGGAGCAUCACCCUUUUUGUCGAUGGCCAGAAGGUUU